GCAGCCGCGGUAAUACGGGGGAUGCAAGCGUUAUCCGGAUUUAUUGGGUUUAAAGGGUGCGUAGGCGGCUUGGUAAGUCAGCGGUGAAAUUUAGGGGCUCAACCUCUACCGUGCCGUUGAUACUGCUGGGCUAGAAUGCGGAUGCCGUGGGAGGAAUGUGUGGUGUAGCGGUGAAAUGCAUAGAUAUCACACAGAACACCGAUUGCGAAGGCAUCUCACGAAUCCGCAAUUGACGCUGAGGCACGAAAGCGUGGGGAUCAAACAGGAUUAGAUACCCC
This 278-nucleotide ribosomal RNA is filed under the name uncultured Rikenellaceae bacterium. RNAcentral describes it as "partial 16S ribosomal RNA". It matches the Rfam family "Bacterial small subunit ribosomal RNA", at positions 511 to 788 of the family's 1533-position model. The record is from RNAcentral. Lineage: Bacteria; Pseudomonadati; Bacteroidota; Bacteroidia; Bacteroidales; Rikenellaceae.